Long non-coding RNA from Liolophura sinensis, 1962 nucleotides. RefSeq lists it as uncharacterized. The transcript has 2 exons. Lineage: Eukaryota; Metazoa; Mollusca; Polyplacophora; Chitonida; Chitonidae. The record is from RefSeq and is a predicted model, not a curated record.
AUAAAGACAAGAAAAAGAAAAAAAGCAAAUGAAACAUUGGCUUGCUUUGAUGAUCCUGGGGGCGCACCUUACUACCACCGAUAGCCACAUGUGACCACACCCCCUGGAUACAUACUAACAUACCAAGUUAAUAGUUUGCCAGUUUAUAUAAUAAUAUACAUCCCUAGAAGGUGCUAUAUUAUAAAGCAAUAUUUUGUCCUGUAGAACCCCAAUGCAGCACACUAAAUUACAUCCACAGUGGCUAUGAAUCCAAAUUUCACAUGAUACCAGUCAUUUGCAUUCGCAUUAAAAGUAUUAAAAAAAAAUAGAAAAAGAUAAAUCAAUCUAAUUUUGCUCAGUGUUUGUGUAUGUUGCUCAGUAGCAGUAUUCAUGUUAGCCAGUUUUCUUUUUAUUGGUCAGUUCAGAGGUGAUUACUGAAAAUUACUGAAAUCUUUAUAUAAAUAUAUACACAUAUAUAUGUGUUUAAUAACAGUAUGGUUGCUUUAGAGGUUUUUGUUCAAGAUCCAUCAUUACCUAUGUGCACAUGUACAUGUAUGUUACUAAUGCGGCUUUAUCUACAAUAGGUGCUAAUUUCUGUCAGAUUUAUACAGUCUUUGUUGGGUUUGAAGUACUUCUGUUUGUUUUGGGUGACAUUUGUUUUCAUAUUGUCCUUGAGCAGAUGCUUGCGCAUGCAUCUGCAUGUUUUGUGUACACCAGCUGUUGAUCAUGGAUAUAGAUGUACAUGAAGUUAAAUUUUCCUAUACCCUUUGGGGUGACAAGGCAUGUAUAAUGAAUUACAGGGGCUGACAAGACUGGAUUUUCUGUGCAAAUCUUGUGUUUAUGAUUACAUAAUAGUUCACCAUUAAUACUUUGGAUAAGUAAGCUGUGAUGUCUCCUGAAUGUACCCAAAUCUUCUGUGAUAAGAUACUUGUGUGUUAUUCUGUUGUUCAGAGAUUGUUUUCAGGUGGAUAUUCCAUAUGUUGAGAAUAUGGAAAUUUGAUUCCAACACUAAAUUUUGAAAAGGCGUGUUGCAUAGUAUCAAAACAGGCCUUUUGACGUAUACUGAGCUCGAAGAAUAAAAUUUUAUUAAAAAAAAACUGUUAGGAUUAAAACCUUUUUGAUUAAAUUUGUGGUAUUCAAGACUUUUAUGUAUAUGUAUAUAAAAGUAUAUGUGGAAAUUGGUUCAAGGGUUUGGGACAUUGAAAUAUGUAGUGGCAAAUGGUAUGUAGCCGACUACAUGUUUGUACUAUGAAAACUGUAUCUUAUAUCAACACAUGCUAUUACAAAUAUACAGUAGAUGUUUAUUAUUUUUGUUGAAAGGUUAUUCCAUAUGAACAUGUAGGCCUAUCCAUUUUUAAACAGUUCCUUUUAAUAAUCAACAAUGAACAGAGUGGAUUGUUCUUUUCCAGUAAAGACAAAAUAGAGCAACUUAUGUUGACUAGAUGUCUUGUUUAACAUAAGACAUUUAAAAAUACAUUAUUCACAAGACAGGUAAAAAUUCAGGGUAUCUAAUGACGGAUAAAGUGAAAGGGUAAAAACGAAGCCCUCAUGGACUCCAGCACUAUGUGUAGAGUCAAAAGUCCUUUGUGAGAGAAAAAAAAACAACAGAUUAAAUAAUACACUGUGGUUUUAUGGAAAUCAAUAGUGCCUUUAAUCCAAGGGUUUUUUUUAGAAAUUAUGUGUUGGGAAGGAUUGUUUUUGUUUAAUUUACAUUUGGGAAUAUACUGUGAUUAUUGUAUUGGUUAUUUCAUGGGAAGUCUAUGGCUUGCCAAAUCUAUACUAUGACUGACUCUUCACUUGACCCAUUUGUUAACGUGUACACAGGUACAGGCAUGUACAGGUAAAAAUAUUUUUGUUGUUUCUAGGGACAUAUUGAUGGCAUCUUCUAAAAAUCGAAUUUAUUUUUGCUCACCUGAAUUUUGAUUGUUGAAUUAUUACCAAUAUAUUUUAUAAUCAAUAAAUUUUAUGAAGCUUUGAAAAACA